RNAcentral lists this unclassified non-coding RNA (345 nucleotides) under soil metagenome. RNAcentral's name for it is "partial contains 5.8S ribosomal RNA, internal transcribed spacer 2, and large subunit ribosomal RNA". The stretch from base 1 to 120 matches the Rfam family "5.8S ribosomal RNA", at positions 35 to 154 of the family's 154-position model. The record is from RNAcentral.
GAUGAAGAACGUAGCAAAAUGCGAUAAGUAAUGUGAAUUGCAGAAUUCAGUGAAUCAUCGAAUCUUUGAACGCACAUUGCGCCCCUUGGUAUUCCGAGGGGCAUGCCUGUUCGAGCGUCAUUACACCACUCAAGCACCGCUUGGUAUUGGGCAUCGUCCGUCGAAAGGCGGGCGUGCCUCGAAGACCUCGGCGGGGUUUCUCCAACUUCGGGCGUAGUAGAGUUAAAUCAAAACGUCUUAUAAGCUUGGUGAGAUCUCAUUGCCGUUAAACCUUUUAUUUUUUCAGGUUGACCUCGGAUCAGGUAGGGAUACCCGCUGAACUUAAGCAUAUCAAUAAGCGGAGGA